AACGAACGCUGGCGGCAUGCCUAACACAUGCAAGUCGAACGAGACCUUCGGGUCUAGUGGCGCACGGGUGCGUAACGCGUGGGAACCUGCCCUUAGGUUCGGAAUAACUCCCCGAAAGGGGUGCUAAUACCGGAUAAUGUCUUCGGACCAAAGAUUUAUCGCCUUUGGAUGGGCCCGCGUUGGACUAGCUAGUUGGUAGGGUAAAAGCCUACCAAGGCGACGAUCCAUAGCUGGUCUGAGAGGAUGAUCAGCCACACUGGGACUGAGACACGGCCCAGACUCCUACGGGAGGCAGCAGUGGGGAAUAUUGGACAAUGGGCGAAAGCCUGAUCCAGCAAUGCCGCGUGAGUGAUGAAGGCCUUAGGGUUGUAAAGCUCUUUUACCCGGGAUGAUAAUGACAGUACCGGGAGAAUAAGCUCCGGCUAACUCCGUG
RNAcentral lists this ribosomal RNA (433 nucleotides) under uncultured bacterium. RNAcentral describes it as "partial 16S ribosomal RNA". It matches the Rfam family "Bacterial small subunit ribosomal RNA", at positions 29 to 507 of the family's 1533-position model. The record is from RNAcentral.